AGGGAAGCUUCCGUGAUGCCUGUUGGUGAUCACUGAGUAGAGUCAUGAUGGGGAAGCAGGACAGCCAAAGCCCUGAGGGAUGAAGGCAGGGCCAACGGGACAAGAUUGAACCAAGGAAGCUCUAUCAGAAAGGAGCAGACCGCAGACCACCAGACAAAGGUGAACCAACACAGCAGUCCUCUAGCCUGGCAGCCCGGGACCAGACCUCACAUACAUACAUGAGGAGUUCUGAGAGUGCGGAGGCCCUUCCUCAGGCUGAGGGCCUUGGAAUAGAGGGAGCAGCUGCUGGAAAAUACCAGAAACCCCCCAUUCUAGGACCACUGGAGCCUGGCCAUGAAGCGUCUCUUCCUUAUUUCUCAUCCUUGGUCCAGGAUGGACCCUCCUGCUCUCCAUCCUGGCCUUGGUCUCCACCUACAGCCCUAACCAGUCUGCUGGCUUUGAACAAUUUCAGUGUUCCAAGUCAGAGCCUAAAGCAGAGUCAUGCUUCCCCAGGAAUACAGCUCACCAAUAAUGGGAAGAGUGUGGGGAAACAGGGCUGAGACUCUGUCUCCCCUUCCCACUCCCAGAGGCAGAGAGUACUAAGGCCUUCCCCAUUCCAGACUUCAGCAGCCUGCAUCAGAGAACUGCUCCAGACCUGGAGAAGCCCAAGAGAAGAAUCCCAAAAGCUCUGGCCAGAGCAAUGCAACACAAGAACUUUACAUAUGACCAGCACCUAUG
This is a long non-coding RNA of Dama dama (fallow deer), 717 nucleotides long. RefSeq lists it as uncharacterized. The record is from RefSeq and is a predicted model, not a curated record. The transcript is spliced from 3 exons. Lineage: Eukaryota; Metazoa; Chordata; Mammalia; Artiodactyla; Cervidae.